UACAGAGGGUGCGAGCGUUAAUCGGAAUUACUGGGCGUAAAGGGCGCGUAGGCGGUUAUAUGUGUGGGAUGUGAAAGCCCUGGGCUUAACCCGGGAAGUGCAUACCAAACUGUAUAACUGGAGUAUAUGAGAGGGUAGCGGAAUUUCCGGUGUAGCGGUGAAAUGCGUAGAGAUCGGAAGGAACGCCGAUGGCGAAGGCAGCUACCUGGCAUAAUACUGACGCUGAGGCGCGAAAGCGUGGGGAGCAAACAGG
RNAcentral lists this ribosomal RNA (253 nucleotides) under uncultured bacterium. RNAcentral describes it as "partial 16S ribosomal RNA". It matches the Rfam family "Bacterial small subunit ribosomal RNA", at positions 524 to 776 of the family's 1533-position model. The record is from RNAcentral.